CGGAGGGUGCAAGCGUUAAUCGGAAUUACUGGGCGUAAAGCGCGCGUAGGCGGUUUGAUAAGCGGAGUGUGAAAUCCCCGGGCUUAACCUGGGAACUGCAUUCCGAACUGUCAAGCUAGAGUAUGGUAGAGGGUGGCGGAAUUCCGAGUGUAGCGGUGAAAUGCGUAGAUAUUCGGAGGAACACCAGUGGCGAAGGCGGCCACCUGGACCAAUACUGACGCUGAGGCGCGAAAGCGUGGGGAGCAAACAGGAUUAGAUACCCUGGUAGUCCACGCUGUAAACGAUGUCAACUAGCCGUUGGAGUCUUUAAGGCUUUAGUGGUGCAGCUAACGCGAUAAGUUGACCGCCUGGGGAGUACGGUCGCAAGAUUA
Molecule: ribosomal RNA, 371 nt
Filed under: uncultured organism
Description: bacterial SSU rRNA
Rfam family: Bacterial small subunit ribosomal RNA
Source: RNAcentral